Molecule: microRNA precursor, 98 nt
Filed under: Pristionchus pacificus
Lineage: Eukaryota; Metazoa; Nematoda; Chromadorea; Rhabditida; Neodiplogasteridae
Description: microRNA ppc-mir-87 precursor
Gene: ppc-mir-87
Rfam family: mir-87 microRNA precursor family (bases 13-88)
Source: miRBase by way of RNAcentral
GGGGUGACGUCAUGCUCGUCGCCUGAACUUGUACUCAACCUCGUCAAUAGAUGAGCGCAGGUGAGCAAAGUUUCAGGUGUGCGAGCUAGCGUCCCCCU